AGCGAACGCUGGCGGCAGGCCUAACACAUGCAAGUCGAACGAACCUUUCGGGGUUAGUGGCGGACGGGUGAGUAACACGUGGGAACGUGCCUUUAGGUUCGGAAUAACUCAGGGAAACUUGUGCUAAUACCGAAUGUGCCCUUCGGGGGAAAGAUUUAUCGCCUUUAGAGCGGCCCGCGUCUGAUUAGCUAGUUGGUUGAGGUAAUGGCUCACCAAGGCGACGAUCAAUAGCUGGUCUGAGAGGAUGAUCAGCCACAGUGGGACUGAGACACGGCCCAAACUCCUACGGGAGGCAGCAGUGGGGAAUCUUGCGCAAUGGGCGAAAGCCUGACGCAGCCAUGCCGCGUGAAUGAUGAAGGUCUUAGGAUUGUAAAAUUCUUUCACCGGGGACGAUAAUGACGGUACCCGGAGAAGAAGCCCCGGCUAACUUCGUG
This 434-nucleotide ribosomal RNA is filed under the name uncultured bacterium. RNAcentral describes it as "partial 16S ribosomal RNA". It matches the Rfam family "Bacterial small subunit ribosomal RNA", at positions 29 to 507 of the family's 1533-position model. The record is from RNAcentral.